ACGGGUGAGUAAUGUCUGGGGAUCUGCCCGAUAGAGGGGGAUAGCCACUGGAAACGGUGGCUAAUACCGCAUAACGUCGCAAGACCAAAGAGGGGGACCUUCGGGCCUCUCACUAUCGGAUGAACCCAGAUGGGAUUAGCUAGUAGGCGGGGUAACGGCCCACCUAGGCGACGAUCCCUAGCUGGUCUGAGAGGAUGACCAGCCACACUGGAACUGAGACACGGUCCAGACUCCUACGGGAGGCAGCAGUGGGGAAUAUUGCACAAUGGGCGCAAGCCUGAUGCAGCCAUGCCGCGUGUAUGAAGAAGGCCUUCGGGUUGUAAAGUACUUUCAGCGGGGAGGAAGGCGAUGUGGUUAAUAACCGCAUUGAUUGACGUUACCCGCAGAAGAAGCACCGGCUAACUCCGUGCCAGCAGCCGCGGUAAUACGGAGGGUGCAAGCGUUAAUCGGAAUUACUGGGCGUAAAGCGCACGCAGGCGGUCUGUUAAGUCAGAUGUGAAAUCCCCGGGCUUAACCUGGGAACUGCAUUUGAAACUGGCAGGCUUGAGUCUCGUAGAGGGGGGUAGAAUUCCAGGU
Molecule: ribosomal RNA, 576 nt
Filed under: uncultured bacterium
Lineage: Bacteria
Description: bacterial SSU rRNA
Rfam family: Bacterial small subunit ribosomal RNA
Source: RNAcentral